CCGGAAGGGGAGUGAAAUAGAACCUGAAACCGUGUGCUUACAAGUAGUCAGAGCCCGUUAAUGGGUGAUGGCGUGCCUUUUGUAGAAUGAACCGGCGAGUUACGAUUUGAUGCAAGGUUAAGCAGUAAAUGUGGAGCCGUAGCGAAAGCGAGUCUGAAUAGGGCGUUUAGUAUUUGGUCGUAGACCCGAAACCAGGUGAUCUACCCUUGGUCAGGUUGAAGUUCAGGUAACACUGAAUGGAGGACCGAACCGACUUACGUUGAAAAGUGAGCGGAUGAACUGAGGGUAGCGGAGAAAUUCCAAUCGAACCUGGAGAUAGCUGGUUCUCUCCGAAAUAGCUUUAGGGCUAGCCUCAAGUGAUGAUUAUUGGAGGUAGAGCACUGUUUGGACGAGGGGCCCCUCUCGGGUUACCGAAUUCAGACAAACUCCGAAUGCCAAUUAAUUUAACUUGGGAGUCAGAACAUGGGUGAUAAGGUCCGUGUUCGAAAGGGAAACAGCCCAGACCACCAGCUAAGGUCCCAAAAUAUAUGUUAAGUGGAAAAGGAUGUGGCGUUGCCCAGACAACUAGGAUGUUGGCUUAGAAGCAGCCAUCAUUUAAAGAGUGCGUAAUAGCUCACUAGUCGAGUGACACUGCGCCGAAAAUGUACCGGGGCUAAACAUAUUACCGAAGCUGUGGAUUGUCCUUUGGACAAUGGUAGGAGAGCGUUCUAAGGGCGUUGAAGCAUGAUCGUAAGGACAUGUGGAGCGCUUAGAAGUGAGAAUGCCGGUGUGAGUAGCGAAAGACGGGUGAGAAUCCCGUCCACCGAUUGACUAAGGUUUCCAGAGGAAGGCUCGUCCGCUCUGGGUUAGUCGGGUCCUAAGCUGAGGCCGACAGGCGUAGGCGAUGGAUAACAGGUUGAUAUUCCUGUACCACCUAUAAUCGUUUUAAUCGAUGGGGGGACGCAGUAGGAUAGGCGAAGCGUGCGAUUGGAUUGCACGUCUAAGCAGUAAGGCUGAGUAUUAGGCAAAUCCGGUACUCGUUAAGGCUGAGCUGUGAUGGGGAGAAGACAUUGUGUCUUCGAGUCGUUGAUUUCACACUGCCGAGAAAAGCCUCUAGAUAGAAAAUAGGUGCCCGUACCGCAAACCGACACAGGUAGUCAAGAUGAGAAUUCUAAGGUGAGCGAGCGAACUCUCGUUAAGGAACUCGGCAAAAUGACCCCGUAACUUCGGGAGAAGGGGUGCUCUUUAGGGUUAACGCCCAGAAGAGCCGCAGUGAAUAGGCCCAAGCGACUGUUUAUCAAAAACACAGGUCUCUGCUAAACCGUAAGGUGAUGUAUAGGGGCUGACGCCUGCCCGGUGCUGGAAGGUUAAGAGGAGUGGUUAGCUUCUGCGAAGCUACGAAUCGAAGCCCCAGUAAACGGCGGCCGUAACUAUAACGGUCCUAAGGUAGCGAAAUUCCUUGUCGGGUAAGUUCCGACCCGCACGAAAGGCGUAACGAUUUGGGCACUGUCUCAACGAGAGACUCGGUGAAAUCAUAGUACCUGUGAAGAUGCAGGUUACCCGCGACAGGACGGAAAGACCCCGUGGAGCUUUACUGUAGCCUGAUAUUGAAAUUCGGCACAGCUUGUACAGGAUAGGUAGGAGCCUUUGAAACGUGAGCGCUAGCUUACGUGGAGGCGCUGGUGGG
RNAcentral lists this ribosomal RNA (1666 nucleotides) under Staphylococcus aureus. RNAcentral's name for it is "partial 23S ribosomal RNA". It matches the Rfam family "Bacterial large subunit ribosomal RNA", at positions 526 to 2196 of the family's 2925-position model. Lineage: Bacteria; Bacillati; Bacillota; Bacilli; Caryophanales; Staphylococcaceae. The record is from RNAcentral.